Molecule: ribosomal RNA, 834 nt
Filed under: Perforatella incarnata
Lineage: Eukaryota; Metazoa; Mollusca; Gastropoda; Stylommatophora; Hygromiidae
Description: Monachoides incarnatus partial large subunit ribosomal RNA
Source: RNAcentral
AAUUAUUAUUAGAUUUUUAAAUAAUUAUUCACGAAAUAAAUUGAGCUAAAUUUUUGGUAUUUUUGGAAAUUAUAACUAUAUGUUACAAAAUAUAUUAACUAAAUAGAUUUAGGGGUGAAAGGCCUAUCAAAUUUUAUGAUAUCUUGAAGUAUAUAAAAUAUAUCAAGUAUUUCUAAUUCAACUAUUGAAUGUUUAGGUUCAAUAGUAACAUUAUAUUUUUUAAAAAAUAGUUCAAUUUUUUUAAGUAAAAUUGAGUUAGAGCAUAAAAUAUACAUCAAAUUUUUAUUAUAUGAAUAUAAAUAUACUACGGUUAUUAAUAAAUAUAAUCAUAUAUAAUGUAAUUAUUAGUAAUAGUUUAUUAAACUACAUAAAGGAAUUCGGCAAGAAAAUUUUUCACCUGUUUAUCAAAAACAUAGCUUAUUGAAUAUCAUAAUAAGUAACCCCUGCUCAAUGGAAAUCUAAAUAGCCGCAGUACCUUGACUGUGCAAAGGUAGCAUAAUCAAUUGGCUUAUAAUUGAAGUCUGGAAUGAAUGGGUAAUCUGGAAAAUAACUGUCUUUAUUUGUAGUAUUUUGAAUUUACUUAUAAAGUGAAAAUACUUUAAUAUAAAUAUAAGACGAGAAGACCCUAGAAAUUUUUUGUUAAUAACUUUUGUUGGGGCGACAGGGUAACAUAUAAACUUACUUACAUUUAUAUAAAUCUUAUAAGGUACGUAACUAAAUUACUCUAGGGAUAACAGCAUAAUAUAUAAAAGUUUAUGACCUCGAUGUUGGACUAGGUAAUUAAAUAUUUAAAAGAUAUCUUAAUUUGCUCUGUUCGAGCAGUAUCACCUACAU